ACAAAAAAAAACUACCCAAGUUGAAAAUAAAAUCCAUUUCACAUGGUGACUAUAAACCCCACAAAAGAAAAUAACUCACGUCGUUUGCUGAUAUACUGCGGGAGGGACUCCAAAAUGGCUGCUCUACAGGGUAAAAUACGCCUCCUCUGUGGUGGUAAGUUCUGUGUAAAAGGCGCUGUGAACGGCUGAUUUCAACAUUUCACCAAAAUUACUAACAACUUGCACCAAAUGAUAAAUUUGGUGCAUGUCCACGAAAACCAAAGUGAAAAAAAAAAGGGUAAAAAUAAACUGUCAACCGGCAAAAUUGAUAAAUACCCCCCAUAAUGUGCAAAUCAUUUCCUAAUCUUCUCCGCCUUGCAGCUCCUGUUUGUAUUUAGAAAUAAUGCAAAGGCAGAAAGAAAAAGAGGGACGCUCUCUGGUGUGCUGCUGUAGAAAAAAAUGGACAGAACCCACCACCUCGUUCUGGGUGUCACACUUGAUCCACUGGGGUGGUCCGACAGAACAAGUGAGACCUUAUGAAGGUUGUGCGGUACUAGAAGUUAAAAAGUAAUUUAUCAGAAUCAAGAAAUUAAACCAUUUCCACUGGAUCCAGGAUCCCAACUCCAAUGAUCAGGAGAGAACACAAUGAAAUUUAGGGAAGUACGGUACUUCCGCGCUGCCGAAUCUCCAAGGAUAGUUUUCCAGAGUGAAAGUCAUUGAGAAGACUCAAGAGACCCCCUUCCAUUUCACAUACAUGGGAUACAUCAGUUAGGAAGGAGUGCUGAAGACUAGGCCCCGGAGUCACCACUUCACAGGGAGCAGCGGGCCGACCACG
Hyla sarda is the source of this 814-nucleotide long non-coding RNA. RefSeq lists it as uncharacterized. Lineage: Eukaryota; Metazoa; Chordata; Amphibia; Anura; Hylidae. The transcript has 3 exons. The record is from RefSeq and is a predicted model, not a curated record.